AACGCACAUUGCGCCCUGUGGUAUUCCGCAGGGCAUGCCUGUUCGAGCGUCAUUUAACCACUCAAGCCUAGCUUGGUAUUGGGGCACGUGGUUCCGCGGCCCUCAAAAUCAGUGGCGGCGCCGGUGGGCUCUAAGCGUAGUACAUACUCCCGCUAUAGAGUUCCCCCGGUCGCUCGCUAGAACCCCCUCAUUUUUACAGGUUGACCUCGGAUCAGGUAGGGAUACCCGCUGAACUUAA
RNAcentral lists this unclassified non-coding RNA (238 nucleotides) under Lineolata sp. RNAcentral describes it as "partial contains 5.8S ribosomal RNA, internal transcribed spacer 2, and large subunit ribosomal RNA". The stretch from base 1 to 52 matches the Rfam family "5.8S ribosomal RNA", at positions 103 to 154 of the family's 154-position model. Lineage: Eukaryota; Fungi; Ascomycota; Dothideomycetes; Lineolatales; Lineolataceae. The record is from RNAcentral.